This is a non-coding RNA of Ictidomys tridecemlineatus (thirteen-lined ground squirrel), 2412 nucleotides long. The record is from RefSeq and is a predicted model, not a curated record. Lineage: Eukaryota; Metazoa; Chordata; Mammalia; Rodentia; Sciuridae.
GCCCAGCAGAACGGGGCCUGCGCCAGGCCCUGGUGGAGCUCUGUUUAAAAUGCAGGCGAGUGUCUGCCUCCGGCUGCAGACCCGCCAGGACUGGGCGCCUGGAUUCCAGCAGCGGCCUCGGGAGCUGUCCAGGGCUGGCCAGGACUCCCUCCCUGGGCGUCGGACCCGACCAGGAACAGGGGGAAGAGGGUGCGGGGGCCGGUGCAGCCACAGACGCGGCACCCCCAGCACCUCCCCUUCUUCCAGGGCCUGCCGCAAAUCUGAUCUCCAAGGCCAGCUCCGAAGCUCUGCGCUGGGAUUUGCAAAUCCGAUGGACCCUCUGCUGACCACGCUGCACCUGGACGCCGCUCCCGCAGUCCCGCGGAAGUUCCCACGCUGCCCCUUUCAAUCAGUUGGUGGCUUUCUUUGUGCAGCGUGACGUCGUUUCAGGUGGGCGACUGCUCUAUGCCCCCAGCCUGGUCCCGUGGACAGAGCCGAUUCCGGAACCGUGAGAACAUGCCAGAGCUCCGCCGCGUGGUCCUUGGUGAGGUCUGGCUGUGUCCCCAAGUUCACGUGCUGGACCUCGGUCCCCGAGUCAGCGUUGGGAGGCAGGGCUCUGUGCUUCCCAGUGGUUCAGGUUGUCACCACAGGAGUGAGCCAGGUGUCCUGAGUAGAUCUGUUGUCAAAGGAAGCUUCUGCCUUCUUGAGCCAAAGAACUUUCUGUUCUUUAUGAAGUACCCAGCCUCGGGUAUUCUAUUAUAGCAGCAGAAAAUGGAUCGACGAUCCUCAAGGAGCACCUGUUGAAUAAUGAUGGAGUUUGUUUCCCAUGCUGCCUAACUGCCCGUCCCCUGGGCACUGAGGGUUGAGCCAGAGUCUCGGCGUGCUGGGCCAGUGCUGUGCCCCUGAGCUACAUUCUUAGCCCCACUCCCUUUGCUUUGAAACAGGUCUCCUUACGUUGCCUAGGCUGGCCUCAAACGUGUGGUGAUCCUCCUGCCUCAGCCUCUGGAGUAGCUGGGAUUACAGGUGUGAACCACGGGGCCAACCUUUGUCUAAUCUUAAGAAGCUCCACUCUCCUCCCAGGAAGACGCCGCUUAGGUCAACCUUAACUCUCUAAUUUCCACAUUCAGAACUCAUCCCUCAAGUUGCUUUUCCAUAUUGUCAAAGAUCCUUAAGAUGCAAUGGCAGAAACCCAACUCGAGUUCAGGCAAAACAGGGAAUGCAUUGGUGCAUCUAAGUAAAAUGUCUAUUUAGCUUCAGGCACAGAUGGAUCCAGGUGCUCAAAGGGACUGCCUCUUUGUCCAGGGUCUGUCUUGGAAGGCUGAAUCGGAUGGGCCAGGACGGGGACAGGCUCAGUCACCGACUGAAUGACCAGGCCUGAUCCGGGGUCUCCCGCUAGCAAGCAAGGUUUUUAUGCGGCACUGAGAAUGGCACCCAGGCCGCACCCGCCGCCGGGCAGACGCUCUACCGCUGAGCCCCAGCCCGUCUGGGUUUUUAAAUGGCUGUGGGACGGCCCUGGUGACAGAGAACGACCCUGCGGGGCGUCUUCCAGGGGACACCGAGCCCUGCCAUGUGAAGUCGCCGACUCCUCCCAGCCCCACUGCGAGGUUGGCCCGUCCUUCUUUCCAUUUCGUAGAAAAGGAAACCGAGACCAGAGAGGGGAAGAAAGCUGCCCGCGGUCACAGAGCGAGGAGGAAACAGGGCACCCGCUAGGGCUCGGGGUGCGACCAGGGGGGCCGCGGAGAAGCGCAAGGACCCCACAGCUCCCUGUCCCUGCGGUCCCCUCCGGGGGCGUCGGCGUGGCUCUGUCCCUGAGGUCCCCGCCCAGCCUCCGCCGCGGGGGUCCCCUGCGCCCAGCUCCCGCCGCGUGGCCCCUGGAGUCCGCGGCUCCCCGCGCCCCCGCUGAGUCCCCGAUGCAGCCGCGCGGCCUCCGGGUGGCACUUUGCAGACGCUUCCUGGGCCGCAGCGAGACUCGACUGUGUCGCCAGAGCCGGAAACAGUGCUGCGAGUGGCGGGCGAAGCUCGGUCCCCGGCCCAGGGCGCUGGGGUCCGCCGCAGGUCGCAGCCACCUCCCCUGGGGACGGCCGCCCCGGCCUUCCCGGGGCAGAGGCCGCGGGACUCCACGCAGGGCCUCCCACUCGGGGCUGCGGGGUCGCCCUCUCGGUUCCCCCUUAGCCCCCCAUCAGCCCGGGACGGCUUAGUGGUGACAGUGACGGAGAGGGACCUGCCCAGCCUUCGGCCUGCUCUGCGCUCCAGGAGCCCCGCAGAGCGCGCAGGGCCCGGUGGGAGGAAAACCCAGGGGGACUUCGCGGAGGAGCCGGCCCGCGGGGGAGCCUCCACUCGCUGCCUCCCGCUUCCUCUCCUUCUUAAAAAAAAGGAAAAAGAAAGAAGGAGAAACCUCCUCAGAAGACAAAUAAAGAUUGACAGGAGGUGCGA